RNAcentral lists this ribosomal RNA (374 nucleotides) under uncultured organism. RNAcentral's name for it is "partial 16S ribosomal RNA". It matches the Rfam family "Bacterial small subunit ribosomal RNA", at positions 527 to 896 of the family's 1533-position model. The record is from RNAcentral.
GUAGGUGGCAAGCGUUGUCCGGAAUUAUUGGGCGUAAAGCGCGCGCAGGCGGGGUUUUUAAGUCUGAUGUGAAAGCCCACGGGCUCAACCGUGGAGGGUCAUUGGAAACUGGAGAACUUGAGUACAGAAGAGGAAAGCGGAAUUCCACGUGUAGCGGUGAAAUGCGUAGAGAUGUGGAGGAACACCGGUGGCGAAGGCGGCUUUCUGGUCUGUAACUGACGCUGAGGCGCGAAAGCGUGGGGAGCAAACAGGAUUAGAUACCCUGGUAGUCCACGCCGUAAACGAUGAGUGCUAAGUGUUAGGGGGUUUCCGCCCCUUAGUGCUGCAGCUAACGCAUUAAGCACUCCGCCUGGGGAGUACGGCCGCAAAGGCUG